AUCUUGAAAAUUAAAAAAUUUGGCGGUAUUUUAGUCUUUUCAGAGGAACCUGUUCUAUAAUUGAUAAUCCACGAUUUUAUUUACUUAAUUUUAAUUUACAUAUCGUUGUAGAUUGAAUAUUUUUAAAAAAAUAAAAUAUUCAAGAUUUUAUAUAUAUAAGUAAAUCAGAUCAAGGUGUAGUUUAUAGUUAAGAAGAAAUGGGUUACAAUAAAUUUAUUUAAAUGAAUUAGUUAAUUAAAUUAAUUAUGAAAGUGGAUUUGAAAGUAAUUUUAUUUAAAUUUUUAAAAUGAUUAAAGCUCUAAAAUAUGCACAUAUCGCCCGUCGCUUUCAUUAUAAAAUGGAAUAAGUCGUAACAGAGUAGAAGUACUGGAAAGUGUUUCUAGAAAGAUCAAAUUAGAGCUUAAAGAAAGUAUUUUAGUUACAUUAAAAAGUUUAUUGUAAAUUCAAUAUAAUUUGAGUUUAAGUUAUUAUUAAUUAAUAAAAAUUUAUUUUUUAUAUAAAAUAAGAAUAUUUAAGUWUCRUUAAUAUUUAUGAAAAAAUAAUUUUAAUUAUAGUAAAAUAGUAUUGUGAAAGAAUUAGUAAAAAUUUUAUAAAGAAAAAUUCAUUUUUUGUACCUGGGUAUCAGGGUUGAUUAAAAUAAUUUUAAAAAUUUAAAUUUCUCGAAUUAAUAAGAUUUAUUUUUAUAUAUUUAUUUUUGUUGAAUAAAAAUUAUUAAUAUAAAAAUAGAAAUGAAACGUUAUUCGUUUAUUAAUAUAUCUAGUUAUUUAAGAAAAAAGUUUAAUUUUCUUAUUAGUUAAAAUUUAGUUCAAUAGUUAAUUAAAUUUUAUUAAUAAGUUAUAAUUAAAGGGAUUAGCUUUUAAUUAAAAAUUUUUAAUAAAAUAAUAUAUUAAUUAUAAAGUAGGAUUAUAAGUUUUUAUCUAUAAAAUUGUGUUGUAACUUUUUAAUUUUAAAAUAGGAUUUUUAUUUUAUUAGAGUAUUUUAUUAAAUAAUAAAUUUAAAUAAAAAAAAUUUAGUAAUUAUGAUUAAAUUAGUAUAAUAAAAAGUUUAAAUUUAGUUAUUUAAAAGGUAAUAUAAAGGAAUUCGGCAAAUAUAUUUUUUACCUGUUUAUUAAAAACAUGGCCUUUUGAUUAUAAUUUAAGGUCUAGCCUGCCCAAUGAAUAAUUUAAUGGCCGCGGUAUUUUGACCGUGCUAAGGUAGCAUAAUCAAUAGUUUUUUAAUUGAAAGCUGGAAUGAAAGGUUUGAUAAAAAAAUAACUGUCUCUGUAUUAAUCAUAUUGAAUUUUAUUUUUAAGUUAAAAAGCUUAAAUAUAGUUAAAAGACGAGAAGACCCUAUAGAGUUUUAUUAAGGUUAUUUAUUUAUAAUUAAGAAUUUAU
RNAcentral lists this ribosomal RNA (1373 nucleotides) under Viticis bidentatus. RNAcentral's name for it is "partial 16S ribosomal RNA". The record is from RNAcentral. Lineage: Eukaryota; Metazoa; Arthropoda; Insecta; Coleoptera; Curculionidae.